Long non-coding RNA from Pan paniscus (pygmy chimpanzee), 5071 nucleotides. NCBI's taxonomy places the organism in Eukaryota, Metazoa, Chordata, Mammalia, Primates, Hominidae. The record is from Ensembl.
UGUUAAAAAGGAAAAUUCCCAGGCUGAAAACCUGGCAGCUUACCUCUCUUUAUCUGCCUGAGGAGAACGGCCUCCCUCCUGCUGGACAAGCAGAGCGCAAUUCUCCACACCCGGCUCAGGCCUCCGCCGCCGGAAGGAGGACUCCCUGGAGAGCGGGUCCACCUCAAGCAGUUCCUCUCCCCACUGCACCCACCGGCGCUCAUGGCCGAGCUGUUACGCCAUGUUUUUCGUGUUGUUUCUUGCAUGUCCAGUCUAUUUUCCGGGCUAAAGUGGUCAUCUCCCUCCAGCAGAGACCUGGCAGUGUCUCCUCUGGAGCCUCUCCCGCAAAGUCCCCCAAACCCCACUCCUGCGUACUUGCUCCCGCAGGGCCCGCCACCCCCGCGUACACGCUCCCGCAGGGCCCGCCACGCUCACGUACACGCUCCCGCAGGGCCCGCCACGCUCACGUACACGCUCCCGCAGGCCCCCCCUCCCGCGCCCUGAUAGACAUUAGCCCCCACGCCUGCGUACACGUUCCCCCAGAGGCCGCCACGCCCGCGUACACACUCCUGUGGAAUCCAUCACAUUGGUGUACACGCUCCGGCAGAGCCCGCCACACUCACCUAAACCCUAAGAAAAUGGAGGGCCAAGAUUGUGGAUUAAACCAAAGUCUACAUUUCCUCUCUAAAAAAGGCCUAUUCAAGUCAAGGGAACUUUUUAAGGCUCAAGCUCAAGACCUGGAGACACAGCCACCUCCGGCAUGUGUGAAGGGCCAGCUAAGCCCGGGAGUGCUGGUGAGGCUCUGCCUGGAUGCCCCCCUCGCGCCACACCUAGGCCUCAGCGGCAUCUGGAGACAGCACAUGCCUUCCUCACAUAGCCCUGUUCCUCUGGGUCUUCCAUCAUGAAGCUUCUUGGACGGAAUGUGCUUCCUCUUUGAAGAGUGUCUUCCAGGGGCUCUGACUGCCUCUUCCAAACUGAUUUCUAGGAUCCCUGCCCAGCUAUCCUCCUGGUCUCUUCACCACUGAAUUCCUGGAUUAAUUCCAUUUCUUCUUAAAUCAAUCCCACGUCAUCCUUGUUUUCUAGAUUCCUUGUAUGAUUUACUAAAGAAAAUUGGUCUUUUAAAAUCAAUGUCAAUGUAUAUGGUAAAUUUUAUUAUUCUCAACUGGUCUGAAAAUGCCUUCAUUUUCCCCUUCUCACACUUAUAAUUAGUUUGUGAAUUUGGGGUUCAAAAUCACUCUUCCUCAUCACUUCAAAGUUAUUUCUCUUUUUCUCCCUUAAGGGUAUGGUAGUUUGUAUAAUGAGAUUUUUGCAGAUCUGGUUCCUGUUUUUGUAGGGAACACUUUUUGGUUCUUUCUGGACACUUUUUGUUUUUUGUUUGAGAUGUAGUUUCACUCUUGUUGCCCAGGCUGAAGUGCAAUGGCUCAAUCUCAGCUCACUGCAACCUCUGCCUCCCGGGUUCAAGUGAUUCUUCUGCUUCAGCCUCCUGAGUAGCUGGGAUUACAGGCAUGUGCCACCAGACCCAGCUAAUUUUUGUAUUUUUAGUAGAGACAGGGUUUCACCAUGUUGGCCAGCCUGGUCUCAAACUCCUGACCUCAGGUGAUCCACCCGCCUUGGCCUCCCAAAGUGCUGGGAUUAUAGAUGUGAGCCACUGAGCCUGGCCUCUUUCUGGACACUUUUGGUAUCUUCUAGUUGAUUAUUCUUGUAAGUCUGAAUUUUUAACCAGAAUAUGAUCAUGUGCACUUCAUUUUCCAUUGAUCCUGCUCCACCCUUAGUGAGUGCUCUCAGCUUAAGGAUUUCUGCCUUUCUUCAGCUUGACAUUUUUCUUGUAUCAUGUCUUUGAUUGUUUCUCUAUCCCAUUUUCUGUUCUCUCCUAGUGUCCUUGUGAGAAGGAGAUCAGGUUCCCAACUUGACUGAUCGCAUUCCUUCAACUUCCCUUCAUAUUUUUCACCCCUUUGUCUUAAUCCUUGUUCUGAGAAAUAAUCUGGCUUUUAUCUUCAAGUUUCCGAAUUCAAUCUUUAAUUACCUUUAUUCUGUUAUUUAACUCCUUUACCUAAAACAUUCCUUCCAUCACAUAUAUAGUAUUCAAAAAAUUUUUUUAUUCAUUAUUCAGUUUUCAUAGAAGCUUUUUAAAAUUAUUUUUAGUAACCCAGGAGCAUUGAUUUUGUAUCAUUCAGACAUUUCCAGAGUUAUGUUCUCAUGUUUCCUGAAUCAUUUGUCUUCCAUGCUGAAUCAUUUGUUGGUUCUGUUCACAUUGGUUGGCUCUGUUGAUGGCACAGAAAGCCCCCUUGGUUGUUAAUUUGUGUUUGGGAGCAAAAGGCCAGGUCAGUGAGGCAUCUGCCUUUCUCACGCACUGGCAUGCACAGAGAAGCUGUACUCUCCUAAGGACAGUGCGUCAGUUUCUCAUGGAAUUCUCCUCUUCUGGCCUAGAGGACCUGCCCUUCCUUAGUCUUCCAGGGAGCCAGCUGUGUGUGCCCCAUUGCCCCUCCCUGACCCCUGGUGUUUUCUGAGAUGUUGUGUCCUCUGCUUUACUUACUCAUCCACCUGACACUCUGUCUCAUCUUUUCAUCUCCCCAACUUCAGUCAAACUCCCUGAUCUGCCCUUGGUUCUCCCUCCUGUCCUCAUUGCUUUUAUGAUUUUAUUCCCUUCUUUACAACUGAGCUAUAAUGGAAUGGGCCCUGGGCACAGCGGGUGCUGAGUGGAUGUAUUUUGUCCACCAUCUUGAACCCCAAGUUCCUAGAAUCCUAAUCCCAGGGAUUUAUCACCUUCUCCAAGUCUCUACACAGAACACCCAAGAUUUGCCCAUCCAUCUCCCUAUCUUUCCCUCUCCCUCACCUGCUGACACCUCCCUCUCUAACACUACGCAGGAAUUCCAAAUGCUUCUGACUCCCUUGCACAUAACAACUCAAGUCUCUCCAGCCGACACUUCAGACCAGUCUCCCUAACUGCAUUCAUUUAUCAACAGGGUUUAUUAGGGGGUCCACCUAACAAAACCACCAUCCACUCUUUGCAGAAACCCUGGAAACCAUCUUCAUAGAAGACAAUUAUAACUAUAAAUAACAAGUAUCUCCCUCUUGUACCUGGUUAAAAACUUGUCAGAUACCAAGAAGCCACAUUCUUUGGCUUUGCUAAAUCCCUCCACAAAAGAUGGGAGAGCAAGCUUUCUUUGCCCCCCAAGAUUAACCCAAUGAGCAGUAUUUCCUGACAUAGUUACCAGGGAAAGUCGCUGCCAGGGUAAACCCGUCUGGUGCAGAACAGGAUGGUGGCAGAAUGUGCCUGUGACUGUAGCCCAUAGGCAGGUCCAGGAUUCAAGCGCAUCACUCCUCUCUCUGGAAAUACAAGCCCCAGAUACAGCACUCUGGAGGAAGUUCGUAGUCUAUUCCUGGGUUAAAGUAUAAAAUUGAAUAUUCAUUGUUUUGAGUGAGUGAAUUAGCAUUUAUUCAUUUCCUGUAACAUCUUGAAUGCAUUGUAAGGCGGAUACAUUCCCUCUGUUCUCCCGCUGACAUUUCUGACCCCAGUCAGUUGCCUGAAAAAUGCACUUUACUGAUCACAGGACAUCAGAUAGCAGAAUAAAAUGGAUGAACAUAUCAAUUUCUGCUGUUAGAAAAAACUCCCAAAGCUCCUGCCCAUUUGGAGAUGAAUCUGUAUGAGCAUAACUGAAAACAAAAAUGGGUUUGCAACUUGCAAUGUGGCAGCAUGUACUGAUGGGGGUGGUAUAAAUAUCUUUGUGUUACCAGGGCUACAGGCAUCCGAUAACCUCAUGGGUUCCAUGAUUUGCUGGAAGGGUCCCUGGAGGAGGGCACCGUCCAGGACGUUGUGAUGUGCUCACCUCUGGCCGUGGGCGGCUGAGCCCUGAGGCCUCCAGGGUGAGCUGGACCGCACUCCGUCUGGAGCUCUGUCUGCUCGACUGCCCUCAGAGCGUCCGUCAGUUGGCUUCCAUAACUCACUUUAUUUGCUCUGACUCAAUCGGUUGUGCACAUCAGGGAUUUUUAUUGACCAGGCAGUAUCCGGGGCUGGAUCUGGACAGGACUGUGUCCACUCUUUGUGAGAUGUUUCCAUUUCGGCAGGAAACGUUCCCACGUACGCGUUCUGGAGUUCUGGCUGAAGAACCUUUAAUCAUGUUGUUUAGAAAAUGGGUCUGUUCACCUUUCCCUGGCUCGUUGUCAGCCUGUCUUUUCGCUAUAUCCAUUUUGGUGUAAGACACAUCUGUUCCCUCCGACCUGUUCGCCUUUACAUGCGCGUCCUGGCCUGCGAUUAAUUUUCAUUUCCAUGGCUGUGCCAUAUGGGAGUGACCACGUUGUUGAGAGCUUGUUAGCCAGAUGCCCCCGAGGGAGACAUUGAGAGUCCAGUUAUUGGACGUUAGAUUAAAGGAGGCCGGUCAGGUUCGUGUCUGCUGUGGGCCUGGUCAGCCGGGGUCUGCAGCUUAGCUGCUGGGGGCUUUUCUCCUGGUGACCGGGCGGGAGUUUGCAGCUCGGAAGUGCUGCCCGCAGGCAGAAGCCGGGUGGGUCUGGGUGCAUCUCUGAGAGAAUUGUUCAUAUCCUGUGUUCAGAAAAGAGUCCAGUACUUCACUUUCCUUUCUUAUCAAAUGCUUGUUACAAUCUUAAGACGUAGAGGCCGUUGUUACUGAUGACCAGUGCUUGCUGCCAGCCGAGGUCUCCCAGGUGAGCUGGAGUGAGUCCCAACCCUGGUGACUCCGAAUGGGGCUUUAUGUGGAGAUGACAUCUUCGCACAGGUAAUCACGUCAAAACGAGGUCAGCACUGUGCUCCCUCAUCCAACAUGACCCGUGUCCUCCUGAGAGGAGGGAAUGCGGAGACACCGUGUAGUGACUGGUGUCAUGCUCACGGGCCACAGGCGGAGGGCGUUCUCAAAACAGGAGAGGCCUGGAGUCAGUCCCUCUCUGGCGCCUUCCGAGGGAGCCUGGCCCUGCUGGCACCUUGAUCUUGGAUUUCUGGCCUCCAGAACCAUGAGAGGAUACAUUCCUGCCAUUGAUUUGUUCCUUGGUUUGUGGGACUUUGUGAGAUUGGCCCUAGAACUCAUGCCUGAGGCCACGGGCCUGAGAUGGCACAGCCGAUGGGUCAAGCAGGGUGCAGAGG